CGGCCGCGGUAUUUUGACCGUGCAAAGGUAGCGCAAUCACUUGUCUUUUAAAUAGAGACCUGUAUGAAUGGCUAAACGAGGGCUUAACUGUCUCCCCCUUCAAGUCAGUGAAAUUGAUCUAUCCGUGCAGAAGCGGGUAUAACCAUACAAGACGAGAAGACCCUUUGGAGCUUAAGGUACAAAAUUCAACCACGUCAAGCAACUUAAUAAAAAGCAAGAACUUAGUGGAAAAUGAAAUUUUACCUUCGGUUGGGGCGACCACGGAGGAAAAACAAGCCUCCGAGUGGAAUGGGCUAAACCCCUAAAACCAAGAGAGACAUCUCUAAGCCACAGAACAUCUGACCAAAAAUGAUCCGGCUAAUAAAGCCGAUCAACGGACCAAGUUACCCUAGGGAUAACAGCGCAAUCCUCUCCCAGAGUCCAUAUCGACGAGGGGGUUUACGACCUCGAUGUUGGAUCAGGACAUCCUAAUGGUGCAGCCGCUAUUAAGGGUU
RNAcentral lists this ribosomal RNA (494 nucleotides) under Hypophthalmichthys nobilis (bighead carp). Its description in RNAcentral is "partial 16S ribosomal RNA". It matches the Rfam family "Bacterial large subunit ribosomal RNA", at positions 1928 to 2573 of the family's 2925-position model. Lineage: Eukaryota; Metazoa; Chordata; Actinopteri; Cypriniformes; Xenocyprididae. The record is from RNAcentral.